AUUGAACGCUGGCGGUAGACCUAACACAUGCAAGUCGAACGGUAACAGGAAGCAGCUUGCUGCUUCGCUGACGAGUGGCGGACGGGUGAGUAAUGUCCGGGAAGCUGCCUGAUGGCGGGGGAUAACUACUGGAAACGGUAGCUAAUACCGCAUAAUGUCGCAAGACCAAAGAGGGGGACCUUCGGGCCCCUUGCCAUCGGAUGUGCCCAGAUGGGAUUAGCUUGUUGGUGGGGUAACGGCUCACCAAGGCGACGAUCCCUAGCUGGUCUGAGAGGAUGACCAGCCACACUGGAACUGAGACACGGUCCAGACUCCUACGGGAGGCAGCAGUGGGGAAUAUUGGACAAUGGGCGCAAGCCUGAUGCAGCCAUACCGCGUGUAUGAAGAAGGCCUUCGGGUUGUAAAGUACUUUCAGCGGGGAGGAAAAGAGGAAGGUUAAUACCUUUGCGCAUUGACGUUACCCAAAGAAGAAGCACCGGCUAACUCCGUG
Molecule: ribosomal RNA, 490 nt
Filed under: uncultured bacterium
Lineage: Bacteria
Description: partial 16S ribosomal RNA
Rfam family: Bacterial small subunit ribosomal RNA
Source: RNAcentral